CUCUAUGGUGAAGGAGGAGGAAACAAAUCACCUGAUUUUUACCACAACAGGGAACUGCCUGAUGGGGUCUGGGAAAAGGAAACCCAGGUUUUCCUUGUGAAUGUGCUUUUAAUGUUCACGGGCUUGUUGCAGUGCUGCCAACAGUGUUAAAAAUAACAGAGCAAGACUGACUUUGAUGACAGAAAAGCAACGUUUUCAUUGUAAAAGUAGAUUUCUGGUUCUGGAGAGAUCAGUUUAAGAAGAGGGAUGAAGAAGAUAAACAGAACCUGCAUUAAAUUUUGGGAGCUGGUCAGGACCAAAUGUAUUGAACUCUACCCAUCAAAGAUACCAGGUAAACACCAGCAUCAAUCACAGAUGAAGCCCAGAGUGAGAAGGACUGCAGGUGAGAUGUCACUCUGAGGUGUCCUCACAAUGGUCCUAUGCUCUUUCUCCAGUUCAUCUCCAGAUCAUGAUGGAAGCCAGUUUGGGUGAGGAGAUAUCUGGAAAAUAAUAAAGAAUUGGCACCAGGCUCA
Molecule: long non-coding RNA, 512 nt
Filed under: Cyanistes caeruleus (blue tit)
Lineage: Eukaryota; Metazoa; Chordata; Aves; Passeriformes; Paridae
Description: lncRNA (ENSCCEG00000015133.1)
Source: RNAcentral